UGUUGUUAACAAUGCAAGCAUGGUUCUUGGAUUGAUUAGCUUCUUUGGAUAUGAGUUUGCCCCACGGGUUGCUAGGGGUAGGUGGUAGGUGGUGACAACCCUAUCCAUCCUUCGUAAUCCCCCACGUUCGGGUACAUUCUAGGAGUUCGAAAAUUAGCAGUAAUUUUACUGGGUGGAACCAGUAUGGGUACUGUCUCCUCCUGUGUGCUUGGGUGCAUAGGCCUGAGUUCUAUACAAUGUGUAUGUAUGUUAUGCUUGUAUGAUCUAUGCAGUAUAUAGGAAGUACAUAUGAACCUAGAGCUAACUCUUAAUCCUUCUCCCUAGCUUAGUUAUCUUGAGAUGAUUCCUGUGUGUGUCACACAACUCCUCUAUCAUUAUCUUACCCCUGUCUUGAGUAUUGUCUCAUUCCAUCUAUGGUAUACUCAUAUGUAUAGUAAACUCUUUUGACCUACCCGCCUUCCUUUGGCAAAUACGAUACUCUUAGGAAUACUCUUAGGUAAAAU
This 503-nucleotide long non-coding RNA is filed under the name Setaria viridis. RNAcentral's name for it is "long non-coding RNA (SVIR_LNC005350)". Lineage: Eukaryota; Viridiplantae; Streptophyta; Magnoliopsida; Poales; Poaceae. The record is from RNAcentral.